GUCUAUGGCCAUACCACCCUGAAUGUGCCCAAUCUUGUUGGAUCUCAGAAGCUAAACAGGGUCGGCCAGUAUAUUAUGGCCCUUUCCCCGCAUCAACAGGGAACCAUUAAGAACCAUGCAUU
Molecule: ribosomal RNA, 122 nt
Filed under: Chinchilla lanigera (long-tailed chinchilla)
Lineage: Eukaryota; Metazoa; Chordata; Mammalia; Rodentia; Chinchillidae
Source: RNAcentral